GUGCUUACUUCAGCAACACAUACUAAAAUUAGAAUGAAGCAGAUUAGCAUGGCCCCUGUACAAGGAUGACACACAAAUUCAUGAAGUGUUCCUUUA
RNAcentral lists this small nuclear RNA (96 nucleotides) under Jaculus jaculus (lesser Egyptian jerboa). The record is from RNAcentral. Lineage: Eukaryota; Metazoa; Chordata; Mammalia; Rodentia; Dipodidae.